Molecule: ribosomal RNA, 253 nt
Filed under: uncultured bacterium
Lineage: Bacteria
Description: partial 16S ribosomal RNA
Rfam family: Bacterial small subunit ribosomal RNA
Source: RNAcentral
UACGGGGGGGGCAAGCGUUGUUCGGAAUUACUGGGCGUAAAGGGCUCGUAGGCGGCCAACUAAGUCAGACGUGAAAUCCCUCGGCUUAACCGGGGAACUGCGUCUGAUACUGGAUGGCUGGAGUUUGGGAGAGGGAUGCGGAAUUCCAGGUGUAGCGGUGAAAUGCGUAGAUAUCUGGAGGAACACCGGUGGCGAAGGCGGCAUCCUGGACCAAUACUGACGCUGAGGAGCGAAAGCCAGGGGAGCAAACGGA